GGGUGGUUGGCAGAGCAGCGAUUGCACUAGUCUGUAAAACUAGCGUCCUCUGGACUUCGGGGGUGCAAGUCCCUCACCACCCA
RNAcentral lists this transfer RNA (83 nucleotides) under Candidatus Nealsoniibacteriota bacterium. RNAcentral's name for it is "Candidatus Nealsonbacteria bacterium tRNA-Tyr". It matches the Rfam family "tRNA". From Rfam's summary of the family: Transfer RNA (tRNA) molecules are approximately 80 nucleotides in length. Their secondary structure includes four short double-helical elements and three loops (D, anti-codon, and T loops). Lineage: Bacteria; Candidatus Nealsoniibacteriota. The record is from RNAcentral.